GCAGUUGUGGCCGAGUGGUUAAGGCGAUGAACUAGAAAUCCAUUGGCGUUUCCCCGCACAGGUUCGAAUCCUGUCGACUGCC
Ixodes scapularis (black-legged tick) is the source of this 82-nucleotide non-coding RNA. Lineage: Eukaryota; Metazoa; Arthropoda; Arachnida; Ixodida; Ixodidae. The record is from Rfam.